This 1309-nucleotide long non-coding RNA is filed under the name Anas platyrhynchos platyrhynchos (common mallard). Its description in RNAcentral is "lncRNA (ENSAPLG00000016736.1)". Lineage: Eukaryota; Metazoa; Chordata; Aves; Anseriformes; Anatidae. The record is from RNAcentral.
UCCCGUUACCCCUGGAGGCGGCCACGGCCGCCAGCGAGUGCAUGUAGGGGGUCUCCCAGCGCUCCAUCACCGGCUUCCCCAGGAUCUCCAGGUGGGCGUCGGGGGCGUCGUAGGCGGCCGUCGCCCCCCGCCAGGCCUGCCGGCAAUCCUCGCCAUCCGCAAAGAUGGGUGCUGCGGCCGGGUGGGCGCUCAUGGUCCCGCGGGAGGAAAGUCCAAGGGCUCGGCGGUGCUGGGGGAGGGAGAGGGCUCCGGGCGCUCGGCCGGCUUUAAAUAGCCGGGGCUGGGAAAGAGCUGAGUGUGCACGGCGGGCUGGGGCCCCUUUUGGGUGAAAGGGCUGCCUUAUCGGGCUGGGAGGGGACAGCGGGGGCCGGGCGAGCGGUGCCCACGUGCGGUUGGGUGGUCCGGGGUGGCUGGGGGGGGACGUGGGGACUGUGCCGUGCACCAGGGCCAUGCAAUGAGGGUGUGCCGUGCACUGGGGUCAUGCAAUAAAGCUGUGACAUGCAUGGGGUUUAUGCACUGUGUAUUGCAAUGUGCAUCAGGGCUGUGCCGUGCAUUGCAACCAUGCACCAGGGCCAUGCAAAGAGGGUGUGCUGAGUACUGGGGCCAUGCGCUGGGGCUGUACUGUGCACUGGGGCCUUGCACCAGGGCUGUGCCAUGCAUUGCAACGUGCACCAAGGCUGUGCCAUGUACUGGGGCCAUGCAGGAAUGCCGUGCCAUGCAUUGGGGCCGUGCACUGGGGCUGUACCAUGCAUUGGGGCCGUGCAAUAAGGGUGUGCCAUGCACUGAGGCCUUGCGCUGGCGCUGUGCCAUGCACCGGGCCCAUGCAAUGAGGGCGUGCUGUGCACUGGGGGCUUGCAACGUGCACCAUACGUUGCAACGUGCACCAGGGCUGUGCUGUGCAUUGGGGCCAUGCAAUAAAGUUGUGCCAUGCACCAGGGCCAUGCACUGUGUAUUGCAAUGUGCAUCAGAGCUGCACCAUGCAUUGCAACCAUGCACUAGGGCCUUGCACUGGGGCCGUGCCAUGCAUUGCAACAUGCACCAGGGCUGUGCUGUGCAUUGCAACCAUGCACCGGGGCCAUGCAGUGAGGGUGUGCUGUGCACUGGGGCCAUGCACUGGGGCUGUGCCAUGCACCGGGGCCAUGCAAUAAAGUUGUGCCGUGCACCAGGGCCAUGCACUGUGUAUUGCAACGUGCAUCGGAGCUGCACUGUGCAUUGCAACCAUGCACUAGGGCCUUGAACUGAGGCCGGGCCAUGCAUUGCAACAUGCACCAGGGCUGUGCUGUGCAUUGCAACCAUGCACCGGGGCCAU